Molecule: ribosomal RNA, 621 nt
Filed under: Triticum aestivum (bread wheat)
Lineage: Eukaryota; Viridiplantae; Streptophyta; Magnoliopsida; Poales; Poaceae
Description: partial small subunit ribosomal RNA
Source: RNAcentral
CUGCACCAACUGAGGCCUAUUAAGCGUGUUGCUUUUGAAGGGCCUGUAACAGGGAGGCGUUUCUAUGGCUGCCCAGUCCAGGAAAAUGGUGUGAAUUGUGGUGUUACGGAGUGGGUUGAUGGGCCUUGGCCAACUGUUCUUCAGAGAUGUUUGUGCAAGCUAUGGGAGAUGUUCCAUGAGCAGAACUUUGGAAGGGUACAGGACAAGGAGAAGUUUGAGCAGGAGUUGGCAAGGCUUAAGACUGAAAAUGGCAAGCUUUGCAUUGAGUACACCAAGCUUGUUGAUGAUGUAUCCAAGAUGUUUGAUUGGCAGGAUGGUAGGGUGGACAAGAAACAAGUGGAGGAGGAAGAACUUGAGAAGAAGAAGAAGGAGCUAGAGGAGAAAGCCAUGUUGGAGGUGCAGAUGGAAAAGCUCAAACUUGCAAAAGAGCAGAUGUGCAUUUUGCAGAGCGAAGCUGAUAUCAUCAAGAACACUAGGAAGGCUAUGAAGGAUGUUGAAGUUGACAGAGAUGUUCUUAAGAAGGAGAAGGCAAAGCUUGAGCUUGUUGUUGCUGAGCUGCUGAAUGAAGGGUAUGGCAGCAAGGAGAAGUUAGAGCAAAUCAAGGUCAUCCUUGAGUCUUGA